This 253-nucleotide ribosomal RNA is filed under the name uncultured bacterium. Its description in RNAcentral is "partial 16S ribosomal RNA". It matches the Rfam family "Bacterial small subunit ribosomal RNA", at positions 524 to 776 of the family's 1533-position model. The record is from RNAcentral.
UACGUAGGGUGCAAGCGUUAAUCGGAAUUACUGGGCGUAAAGCGUGCGCAGGCGGUUAUGUAAGACAGAUGUGAAAUGCCCGGGCUUAACCUGGGAACUGCAUUUGUGACUGCAUGGCUAGAGUUUGGCAGAGGGGGGUAGAAUUCCACGUGUAGCAGUGAAAUGCGUAGAGAUGCGGAGGAACACCGAUGGCGAAGGCAGCCCCCUGGGCUAACACUGACGCUCAGGCACGAAAGCGUGGGGAGCAAACAGG